This 809-nucleotide ribosomal RNA is filed under the name uncultured bacterium. RNAcentral describes it as "bacterial SSU rRNA". It matches the Rfam family "Bacterial small subunit ribosomal RNA", at positions 67 to 864 of the family's 1533-position model. The record is from RNAcentral.
CGGCAGCACAGCAGUAGCAAUACUGUGGGUGGCGAGUGGCGGACGGGUGAGGAAUACAUCGGAAUCUGCCCAGUCGUGGGGGAUAACAUAGGGAAACUUAUGCUAAUACCGCAUACGACCUACGGGUGAAAGCGGGGGAUCGCAAGACCUCGCGCGAUUGGAUGAGCCGAUGUCCGAUUAGCUAGUUGGCGGGGUAAUGGCCCACCAAGGCGACGAUCGGUAGCUGGUCUGAGAGGAUGAUCAGCCACACUGGAACUGAGACACGGUCCAGACUCCUACGGGAGGCAGCAGUGGGGAAUAUUGGACAAUGGGCGCAAGCCUGAUCCAGCCAUGCCGCGUGGGUGAAGAAGGCCUUCGGGUUGUAAAGCCCUUUUGUCCGGAAAGAAAAGCACUGGAUUAAUACUUCGGUGUUCUGACGGUACCGGAAGAAUAAGCACCGGCUAACUUCGUGCCAGCAGCCGCGGUAAUACGAAGGGUGCAAGCGUUACUCGGAAUUACUGGGCGUAAAGCGUGCGUAGGUGGUUCGUUAAGUCUGAUGUGAAAGCCCUGGGCUCAACCUGGGAAUUGCAUUGGAUACUGGCGGGCUAGAGUGCGGUAGAGGAUGGCGGAAUUCCCGGUGUAGCAGUGAAAUGCGUAGAGAUCGGGAGGAACAUCUGUGGCGAAGGCGGCCAUCUGGACCAGCACUGACACUGAGGCACGAAAGCGUGGGGAGCAAACAGGAUUAGAUACCCUGGUAGUCCACGCCCUAAACGAUGCGAACUGGAUGUUGGGUGCAACUAGGCACUCAGUAUCGAAGCUAACGCGUUAAG